This 402-nucleotide ribosomal RNA is filed under the name uncultured bacterium. RNAcentral describes it as "bacterial SSU rRNA". It matches the Rfam family "Bacterial small subunit ribosomal RNA", at positions 355 to 774 of the family's 1533-position model. The record is from RNAcentral.
UCGGGAAUUUUGGGCAAUGGGCGAAAGCCUGACCCAGCAACGCCGCGUGAGGGAUGAAGUAUUUCGGUAUGUAAACCUCGAAAGAGUGGGAAGAAUAAAUGACGGUACCAUUUAUAAGCUCCGGCUAACUACGUGCCAGCAGCCGCGGUAAUACGUAGGGAGCAAGCGUUGUUCGGAUUUACUGGGCGUAAAGGGCGCGUAGGCGGCGCGGUAAGUCACUUGUGAAAUCUCUGAGCUUAACUCAGAACGGCCAAGUGAUACUGCUGUGCUAGAGUGCGGAAGAGNCAACCGGAAUUCUUGGUGUAGCGGUGAAAUGCGUAGAUAUCAAGAGGAACACCUGAGGCGAAGGCGGGUUGCUGGGCCGACACUGACGCUGAUGCGCGAAAGCCAGGGGAGCAAACG